GACGAACGCUGGCGGCGUGCUUAACACAUGCAAGUCGAACGGUGACGAGGAGCUUGCUCUCUGAUCAGUGGCGAACGGGUGAGUAACACGUGAGCAACCUGCCCCAGACUCUGGGAUAACAGUUGGAAACAGCUGCUAAUACCGGAUACGAGACGGAGAGGCAUCUCUACCGUCUGGAAAGUUUUCGGUCUGGGAUGGACUCGCGGCCUAUCAGCUAGUUGGUGAGGUAAUGGCUCACCAAGGCGACGACGGGUAGCCGGCCUGAGAGGGCGACCGGCCACACUGGGACUGAGACACGGCCCAGACUCCUACGGGAGGCAGCAGUGGGGAAUAUUGCACAAUGGGCGAAAGCCUGAUGCAGCGACGCCGCGUGAGGGAUGAAGGCCUUCGGGUUGUAAACCUCUUUCAGCAGGGAAGAAGCGAAAGUGACGGUACCUGCAGAAGAAGCACCGGCUAACUACGUG
This 464-nucleotide ribosomal RNA is filed under the name uncultured bacterium. Its description in RNAcentral is "bacterial SSU rRNA". It matches the Rfam family "Bacterial small subunit ribosomal RNA", at positions 28 to 507 of the family's 1533-position model. The record is from RNAcentral.